CUCGCUCCCCCUUUCUCUUCGUCGUCGUCGAUCCUGAUUGUGCAAUCCGAGGCGGUGUUUUCUGUGGUUAGGCCUUGGUUUGAUACUCUGCCGGUAGAUUUGCAUACAUCAUCUCAAGGUUUUCUUGCACAGGCAACUGGAUGGGCAAUCUUUCUCUUCAUGCUAAUUCAGCUUCUGAAGAAUUUGACUGCAAGCCUUGCUUGUACAGGCCUGGCUGCACGGGUAUAUGCAUUGAGAAGGAAAAUACUUUUAAGGUAAUGCCUCUAGAGGAUGACAUACUUUCUGCGAGUCAGAAUGUUGGCUUGAUGGUGCAAGAACUUGGAGUCGCUCUCAAUCAGAUCUUGCAUACUCAUACGACUUGUGAACCCAUUGACUGUAAUAUCUCUACAAAUGAUGAUACCGUCUUGCCACUAAAGGAGAUGCAGUCUUGUGUGGCAGCAAAUUUGUCAACAGAUACAAUCAAGGAUGAAACUAAUUCAUGUUUGGAAGUGGUGCAGCCCUCAUCUUUAGCUAUGACUGCAAAAG
RNAcentral lists this unclassified non-coding RNA (525 nucleotides) under Hevea brasiliensis (rubber tree). The record is from RNAcentral. Lineage: Eukaryota; Viridiplantae; Streptophyta; Magnoliopsida; Malpighiales; Euphorbiaceae.